RNAcentral lists this ribosomal RNA (112 nucleotides) under Acanthosepion pharaonis. The record is from RNAcentral. Lineage: Eukaryota; Metazoa; Mollusca; Cephalopoda; Sepiida; Sepiidae.
UUACGGUCACAUCACGUUGAAACACCAGUUCCCAUACGAUCACCGAAGUUAAGCAACGUCGAACCUCGUCAGUAUCUAGAGGGGUGACCGCUUUCGAAUACCAGAUGCUGUA